UCCCUAUGGGGUGCACCAGGCGCGAAACCUCCUCAAUGCACUAACGUGCGAAGGGGUUACCUCGAGUGCUAUCUGAUGAAGGUGGCUUUUCCUUGGUCUAAAAAGCCUUGGGAAUAAGAGGGGGGCAAGACUGGUGUCAGCCGCCGCGGUAACACCAGCCCCUCGAGUGGUGGGGAUGAUUAUUUGGCCUAAAGCGUCCGUAGCCGGCCGGAUAAGUUUCCCGUUAAAUCUAACGUCUCAAGCGUUGGCCUGCGGGAAAUACUGUCUGGCUAGAGAGUGGGAAAGGUCUGCGGUAUUCUGGGGGUAGGGGCGAAAUCCUUUGAUCCCCGGAGGACCACCAGUGGCGAAGGCUGUAGACUAGAACACGUCUGACGGUCAGGGACGAAAGCUGGGGUAGCGAACCGGAUUAGAUACCCGGGUAGUCCCAGCCGUAAACGAUGCAUGCUAGGUGUUGGGUUGGCCACGAGCCACCCCAGUGCCGCAGGGAAGCCGUUAAGCAUGCCGCCUGGGAAGUACGAUCGCAAGGUUGAAACUUAAAGGAAUUGGCGGGGGAGCACCACCAGGCGUGAAGCCUGCGGUUUAAUUGGAUUCAACGCCGGAA
This 601-nucleotide ribosomal RNA is filed under the name uncultured archaeon. Its description in RNAcentral is "bacterial SSU rRNA". It matches the Rfam family "Archaeal small subunit ribosomal RNA", at positions 319 to 923 of the family's 1478-position model. The record is from RNAcentral.